UGAGGAAUAUUGGUCAAUGGACGCAAGUCUGAACCAGCCAUGCCGCGUGGAGGAUGACAGCCUUCUGGGUUGUAAACUUCUUUUAUAUGGGAAGAAAAGUACGGUUUCUACUGUAUCCGACGGUACCAUAUGAAUAAGCACCGGCUAACUCCGUGCCAGCAGCCGCGGUAAUACGGAGGGUGCAAGCGUUAUCCGGAUUUACUGGGUUUAAAGGGUGUGUAGGCGGACAUUUAAGUCAGAGGUGAAAUCUCCGGGCUCAACCCGGAAACUGCCUUUGAUACUAUUUGUCUUGAAUUUCGUUGAGGUUGGCGGAAUAUAUCAUGUAGCGGUGAAAUGCAUAGAUAUGAUAUAGAACACCGAUUGCGAAGGCAGCUGGCUGAACGACGAUUGACGCUGAGGCACGAAAGCGUGGGUAGCGAACAGG
Molecule: ribosomal RNA, 424 nt
Filed under: uncultured bacterium
Lineage: Bacteria
Also listed under: 1 other name
Description: partial 16S ribosomal RNA
Rfam family: Bacterial small subunit ribosomal RNA
Source: RNAcentral